ACAUUCUCAUGCAGGUGUUAGUUGGAUAUAAAGAGCAUUUUGUUACCAAUAUUUAAUCCUGUUACCUUUAAAGUUUUGCUUGAUAUGCAUAUUACUAAAAGUUCUCAUGCUCAUUUUCUAUUAACAGCACAGUAAGAAAAUGCCUGUAUCUCAAGGUCAUAGAAAAGGUGCUUAUUUGGUCUUCAGGAUUCAGGGAAAAAAAGCCCUUACUGUGUCAGCUCUGAUGGGGUCAAAGCCCAAGAGUUAGGUCUUUAAUCUUUUUAAUGAAUUUUGAAUAUUCUUUUUAAAAUGCAAUGUUAUUUCUAUAGGUCAUGCAAGAGGCCAUUUACAUCAGGAAAGCUAUAAAGAAAGAAAGCUAAGGAGAGGCCUUGUGCAGUCAAGUAGAUUCAGAGCUGAGCUAAGCACUGGAACAUGUAGCUUAAAGUUCAUACAAUUAACUUGCAAUAUAAAUAAACAUAAUAAUGCAUGGUCUCCAAACAAAUGGUGCUUCGGACCACUGUUCUAGAGGUUCUAACUCUUCCUUGUUAGCUACAUAUGUUUUCCACAUUGCAAUAUGUCAUAGAGUCUAUAGAAUUUCUACGGAAGAUAAAGGGUUUUAGGCAGGACAGUAGGUGUGGUCAUACAUUAUCAAAAUCAUUCAUGAUGAUGGGUGUGCAACACACAUAUAAGCACAGUUGUCCCAAAUAAAAGACUAUAUUAUUUAUUACUAAAUGAUUUGAAACCUGGGCCGACACCAUUUUUAAUACUUGGAAGUUAAAAAAAUCCCAGGAAGGCAACACUUCCAUGGCCACAACCACCAUCACCACCAGUACAAGCCUCCACUGGCAACAACGGCUGACAUUUACGGAGCAUGAGCUGUGUUCCAAUCACUGCUGGAACCUCUUUACAUUCACUAUAUUCACAUCCUCACAGAUGUCCUAGAAACUAGAUGCUCUGGUCACCACUGUUUAAUAAACAAAGAAACUAUGAUGCCGAGCAAUGAGAAAUCAACAUACAGCUAGUGAAGGCGUGGAGCGCCAUGUCAGUAUCAACCCCAAAAUGCUCCUACUUGGGAACAAGUAAUACAUAUUUUUAUAAUCUCUUCUCACACUUAAUAUUGAUACCCCACUGCCUCUUGAUGGAUUUAGUGUAAAAAAAGUGUUUUGUAAUCAAAUAAUUUUAAGAAACAUCCUAUUUUAUAUUUGCUCUUAGAAAUUCACAGAUCAUUAGGUUACUAAGGCUUAUGUUUCAUAAUUUUAAAAUAAUUUAAUCCCACAUUACCAUACUUAAUUUAUAGAUUUUGAUUUAUUGUAUCUAAAUCUUUUUAUGUCACAUACAAAACAAUGGUAUGAAGAAUUCAUGUCUCGAAUCCAGAGAUAACACCUCAAAAUAUAAUGAAUUAUAGAAUAUGAUGGUCAGCCUAUCAAGAAUAUGAUGGAUUAAAAAAUGAUAGUGCUGAAAGGGUCCAGUUUUAAAGAAUUGUUGAAUGUAUACUGUAUAAUAAAAUCUAAAAGAAAUAAUAAUAUUUUAUAACAGUAAAUAUAGGCAAAAACUUAAAUGUCUGAUGGUUAAUAAAUUGCUGAUUACUACAUUUUAAUUAUGUAACACCCUAAACAUCUAAUGGCCUAAAACAGCAAUGAUUUAUUAUUUUUCAGUGGGCAGGUGUGAGCUACAUGUAAUUACACAUAGUUUCAUGAAACAGUAGAACCCCAUACUCGUCCACAUCCUCUCCUUCUUCUCUCUCUUCCCUCCUACAAGGGUCCUUUCUCACUAUUCAGAAGUUUGGCAUGGACAUUGGCACAGUGGGUGGCAGGUAUUCGAGAGGAAGCUGGGCAGAGCUGAUCUCCCAACCUCCAAGAACAUUGCCUUGGCUGCAAUCUAUUACUCAAGCUUUGUUUACAGACCAGUUGCUCAACUGAGGAAUACAGUGAAAUUGGAAGUCAAUAGCAUUUUGGACUUUUAAAGCAUGCCAACCUUUUUAAAGUAUGAAAAAUAUGCUUGGGGUGGACAUUUCUUCUUACUUCCAUGUGAACUAAGGAUAGAAACACAGAUAAGAAACAUUAGACCUGGACUCCAUGAGAAGUGGAGAAAAAUAUAUAACAAAAACAGGUAUAGAUUUUUAAAAAGCAUGUUGAUCUGUAAUACUAUUCUAUUUGGUGAGUUUGGCUCAUUUAGAGGGUUGAGGAAUAAGCUGUGUAUUAAAUAUGACAAUAUUUGGCAGAUAAAACUGGAAGAGUAGGCCUCAGGGGUGAAGAAAUGUGAAUGAAAUUUAAACCAUAUCUCAGAUCUGGGCUUUUUGUUGUAUGUGAUAUGGAACAGUGUUUUGUUUUUGUUAUUUCUUCUUGAAUGUAGAUAGGUAACCUGAAGACACAACUGCUCAUGCAUUGGUAUAUCUGUGUGUGUGUGUGUGUGUGUGUGUGUGUGUGUGUGGUGUGAGUGUGUGUAUAUAAUGUUGGCAUUAUAGCAGAUUAUAAGUGGAAGAUUAUCUGUUUGAAGCAGAAAUCUAGUUUGAUUUCUAUCUUGUAUAGUUUUUUUAGCAAAUUACUUUUAUUAAACCAGUAUUUAAAGCAUCUAUACAUCUAGAGAUAUAAAUAUUAUAGGGUUUCAACUAAAUAGAAUUCUUCAAGAUUCCAUCAAUAUUUCAUUUUCUCUUUGAAGAUGAGGAGAAAAGUGGGAUUGAGAAAAGGAAAGUUUUGGAAAUGAGCUGUCGUCUGACAGUGGAGCCAAUAGAUAUAGGGUCUAUCUUUAAAAACUAAUUCUUCGGGGCUCUGCUAUGAGCAGCAGGUCCUGACCCUCGGGAAACACCAGCUCUCUGCAGUGAUGGAGUGAAACAGAAACUUAUGGGAACCCAGGGGGAGAGCCGAUCUGUGCAGCCAGGAACAGACUUGAGCUUUUCUGCUUUUACUGCUCACAGCGUCCUGCUGUGUUGACAAUAGGUUCAGAAACAAAUUGCAAAGCUAUCUUUCUUUUUCUUUAAUGUAUUUUUGUAAAGCUGAAGUAGAAAUCGUCUUACACAUUUUGUUUUUUGUAAUUUUCCCUGAUUGGAUAUUGCUUGGGAUGUAAUUAGCACAUUUGAAGAAAAUAAAUGUAGGAAUAUUUCUAAUUUUUUCAUUCGUCAAAGGUUAAUAACUUGGGACAUGUCUAUUAGGAUUUCACAGGGACUUGUCAUUUGGAGUUAUGAUUUAUCACCCAGUUAGAAUAACAGGGACAGAAAAUAAGACAAAAUAUAGAAACAGUGACUAUUUCAACUUAAACUUUAGCAGACUUUUAUUCAGAACAAAUAGCUCACCUUGCAUCAUCCACGAUGGCCACAAGCCUCCAGGAUUAUUAAAACAUGUUUACUACAAGCUAUAUCAUUGGAAAAAUUAAAAUGCUUCCCAAUGUAUUUUCAAAUUCUCAACAUUUAAUUGUGUAAUUCUUUGUGCAAUUUUUUUUAGUUUAAUUGUCACAGGAUGCAGAUGGUAUUAAAAUCUUCCACACUCAGAGUCUAAGGGUCAUUUAGAUACGUUUGAAUCCACUGUAGAUAUUUUCAAUGAAUUGUAAAGAUUAGUCUCCUUGUGUGAGCCUUACAGUGUUACCCCUUCAAGAUGAGAGACACGUGGAUAAAUAUAUCUUUUGUUUUUCCCUUUGGCUUUAUCCUGUGGAUGUAUCACGUUGCUUUGAUAUUAUGUGUCAGUUCCCAGUCUAGGUCACUGCGCUGUCAUUCAGGUUAGCUUAAAAUUGUCUUAGUACAUAAACACGUAAGUACAUACAUGCUCUUUGUUCUAAUAAAAAUACUGUGAAGAGAUGAAGAGAAUGCUCUGUUAUGGUCUGUGGGACAACAAUCCAUAAUUUACUUUUGCAGAUGUCUGUGUAAUUUAAGCAGCAGGCAGAACAACCACACAGUUGUAGCUGCUCUAGGGAAAGGAUACCAAGAGGCUCAUAAAUCACGGGAAGAAUUAAAAGCAAUGAGCAUUCAUCUUCUUAACCUCGUAAGGCAAUAUGGGAAAGCCAAGUUUCAGAACACACAGAGCACAGAAUCUUUGUGCAGGGAUAAGAGGUGUCAGAGAUUUAAUCCUUCUCUCAAUUAGCACUGACCUUUCAUUUGCAAGUCAGCAGAACAUCAUUUUAAGGUUGAUUAAAAGAGACCUCUUCUGCAACAAAUCAAACUGAAUAAGUGAUAAGGUGUUUUUCUGGGCACUAGUAAAUGAACUGAAAUCAUAUGGAAAUGUUAGUCAUUUACUUAAAGCGAACAUGUUUCUUCUUGCAUAAUACAGUAUAUAGAAAAUAACCUUGCAAGUAACCCAUCCAUAAAGGUCAUCACGUUUAAUUGAAUAUUGUUAAUAUAAAUAAAUGUCAUGAGAAAAUACUAACUUCAAAGCAGUCAGUGAAGGGGAUAAAGAUGGCUGGCUCUCCCUAUAACAUUUAGUCAGUAAAUGAUCUGUUACUAAUUGUUUAUAUUUGAAAAAUUAUUCUAAUCAAAGGUCUUUGGAUGCAAAUGAGUAAAUUAAACACAAGGAGGGAAGUUUUAUUUUGUGCAGAAAAUAGAAACUUUAAUCAAAUUUUAAAGCUUUGGAAAACUAAUAAUUUGCUAAUUUUCUCACCAUUCUUUCAAACCAAGUUCAUGAUCAAAGUGAAGUUGCUAAUUUUAUAAAAACGUCAGCAUUGUGCAGAAAAUACUAUAACAACAUUGUGAAGGACAGGUCCUGUUUGGAAAGAUAUAGACAGAUUUCAAUUUCUGAUUCCCCAGUUUAGAGUCACACAUCCCUUGGCAAUUAUUCUUUUUAUGUACCCAAUACCUAAUUAUAUAUUUCAGUCAUGAAGGCCGGUUGUGGGUUAAUCUUGAGUGCCAUGUAAUUGUGUGUAUCGGAGAGAAAGGAGGAGGAGAAGGGAGAAGAGAUGCUUGCAUAUUGUAUACUGUGUGGGAGUAUAACUUGCUUUGCGUUCAUAUUUAAAAAUAAUGUCAGCUGUUAUUUAGAAAGUUACACUGACCUGACUUUGAACGCAGCCUGAGAGACACACCACUUAUUGUAAUUUUGGUUGCUGUGGCACUGAGUGUAUCCUGUGCUACAUCCCUUGAUGGGAAAGAUAACCAUCCUCUUCACCUGGCAGAAACUGCUUCAGCACUCUAACACUACUUUCACUACCACUUUUCCUUCCUGACAAAUGAUGGUUAAGUAUCAUAUGCUUUAGUACAAGCUUGGAUGAUAUUAAAGUUAAUCAGCUUCGUUAUAUUAUGGAUUGUUGCAUUUGGUUGUUUCCUUGUCUGAUUUCUAACAAGAUUGUUCUGAUUUUACCAGGAAAUAGUCCAGAGAAGGCAUUUAGGCAACACAAGGACCCAACUAAGAUUUUUGCCAUAUGAAGUAAAAUUGAGUAAAACAAGUACCUGGAGAAAUUCAGUGUGUAUCUUUUGAAUAAAAAUACAUAAAAUCUCCUUUCAGUUAAUGAUAUUUAGCAAAAAAAUUGGGUCCCAAAAUUCAAUAAAGAGCAGACUAUAAUUUAAAAUGAAUAAACAAUUUAUCUCCAUAUCUCCAUAUAGG
This 5498-nucleotide long non-coding RNA is filed under the name Heterocephalus glaber (naked mole-rat). RNAcentral's name for it is "lncRNA (ENSHGLG00000034182.1)". The record is from RNAcentral. Lineage: Eukaryota; Metazoa; Chordata; Mammalia; Rodentia; Bathyergidae.